Molecule: non-coding RNA, 69 nt
Organism: Parelaphostrongylus tenuis
Lineage: Eukaryota; Metazoa; Nematoda; Chromadorea; Rhabditida; Metastrongylidae
Source: the annotation of a GenBank genome assembly
GCGAUGGUGCAGCGGUUAGCAUACGCUCUUGGAAAGAGUGACAUCUGGGUUCGAAUCACGGCUGAGGCA